ACCUAUGACCAUAUUUCCCAGAAUGCACCAGAUCUCAUGUGAUCUUGGAAGCAAAGCAGGAUUGGGCCUGGUUAGUACUUGGAAGGAAGACAGAGCUGAAGAGAGUUGAAGUUU
Molecule: ribosomal RNA, 114 nt
Filed under: Castor canadensis (American beaver)
Lineage: Eukaryota; Metazoa; Chordata; Mammalia; Rodentia; Castoridae
Source: RNAcentral